This 321-nucleotide long non-coding RNA is filed under the name Homo sapiens (human). RNAcentral's name for it is "long non-coding RNA NONHSAT220906.1". Lineage: Eukaryota; Metazoa; Chordata; Mammalia; Primates; Hominidae. The record is from RNAcentral.
UGGGAUUACAUUUAAGAUUAAAAAAAUCUUCCUGUGGACAUUAUUCUUUUAUCAUUAGCGUUUCUUGGCCCAAGAUGGCUGCUUGGAGCUCCAGCCAUCAAGUCUGUAUUCCAGGCAGCAGGAAGGAAGAAGAGAGGGUGAUGUUGCAGUCAGUGGCGAGCUUCAGUCCCAGGAGCCUGGAUGAAAGUAGACACAGAACGAGAGAUCAAGGAUGCAACAAGGAAGAAACAUCUUCCCUGUUAGUACCCAGUGAACUGAGACUGGGCUAGAAAAUCACAUCUGUUGUAAAAUCAGAAAGGGUCAUACCUGGAGCAGAUGGAA